UCUCCGUUGGUGAACCAGCGGAGGGAUCAUUACCGAGUUUACAACUCCCAAACCCAAUGUGAACGUUACCAAACUGUUGCCUCGGCGGGAUCUCUGCCCCGGGUGCGUCGCAGCCCCGGACCAAGGCGCCCGCCGGAGGACCAACCAAAACUCUUUAUGUAUACCCCUCGCGGGUUUUUUUACAAUCUGAGCCAUCUCGGCGCCCCUCGUGGGCGUUUCGAAAAUGAAUCAAAACUUUCAACAACGGAUCUCUUGGUUCUG
Molecule: unclassified non-coding RNA, 261 nt
Filed under: plant metagenome
Description: partial contains small subunit ribosomal RNA, internal transcribed spacer 1, and 5.8S ribosomal RNA
Source: RNAcentral